GUCUGUUGUAAAUAGCCUGUGGAUUUGGCUGUUACUGUGGGUGAAAUUCUGUGUCCAGACCCACCAGAGGAUUUAGCUCACCACUCAUUGCCUUAGUGUUGGGGAAGGAAAUCUAAGCUCUGACAGAU
This 128-nucleotide small nucleolar RNA is filed under the name Carlito syrichta (Philippine tarsier). RNAcentral's name for it is "Small nucleolar RNA ACA64 (ENSTSYG00000023803.2)". It matches the Rfam family "Small nucleolar RNA ACA64". The record is from Rfam by way of RNAcentral. Lineage: Eukaryota; Metazoa; Chordata; Mammalia; Primates; Tarsiidae.